Molecule: long non-coding RNA, 682 nt
Organism: Oncorhynchus tshawytscha (Chinook salmon)
Lineage: Eukaryota; Metazoa; Chordata; Actinopteri; Salmoniformes; Salmonidae
Source: Ensembl
GAGACCGCCUGCUUCGACUGUAUGUUACAACACACACUAACUCUAUAAAAAAAGCACAGUGAGUCGCUGCCCCUGUAUAAACAGGCUAUGAGAGUGUAUGAGGACAGUCUGGGAUGCUCACACCCACAGGUCAGAGAAACACUGAAGAACCUAGCUGUACUCAGCUAUGUGGAGGAAAGCAGCAGAGCUCAACAAUCCAUGGAGAUCAAAUAGGCGGAGCAGUCUCUGGUUUGUGGAAGGCCCAUGUCGACACUCGUCCAGUGGGGAUGGGCCUUUAGCCUGCGAGGGCCCACACCUCUCCCACAUGCCCGCAGGUGACCCCUCUCUAUUCCGCCCCUUCCAAGAACACAGGUGGUGGAUCUCAUUUUGCCUUUCAUUCAUCCUGUGUGUCCAUUUCCUCGUCUCCUUCUAGAAAUGCAUUGGUGGAGAAGGUCAGUGGGAGGGACCUUGCAUCUUCUCCUCGAAUGCAUUUUCAGGAGGUGGAAAGGAUAGAGGACAUGAAGAAUCAAGGAAGUACAAUUGAAGGCCAUCCAUGGUUCGCAAUCUGCUUUCCUGAGAAGAACAACGUCCAUCACACUGAAUAGUUUGUUAUGCUGCUUUGAGAUGGAACAGUGUAGUGGUGUCGCCUGUCAAGAGUACUGUAACUAACUUCUGAAAUAAAUUAUGUUUUAAUGUCUGUUCA